CGCAUCUGUGCAUGCAGCAUAUCAAUAAGCGGAGGAAAAGAAACUAACAAGGAUUCCCUUAGUAACGGCGAGUGAAGCGGGAAGAGCUCAAAUUUGAAAUCUUCAAGGUUUUACCUUGACGAAUUGUAGUUUAGAGAAGUGUUUUCUGUUGAAGUUUUGGUAAAAGUUCUUUGGAAUAGGACAUCAUAGAGGGUGAGAAUCCCGUAUUUGACCAUUAUUUUCAGCUGUGUGAUACACUUUCAAAGAGUCGGAUUGUUUGGGAAUGCAGUCCAAAAUGGGUGGUAAAUUUCAUCUAAAGCUAAAUAUUGGCGAGAGACCGAUAGCGAACAAGUACCGUGAGGGAAAGAUGAAAAGAACUUUGAAAAGAGAGUUAAACAGUACGUGAAAUUGUCAAAAGGGAAGCGUUUGACACCAGUGUUGUUUUCUCGAAAAUCAAUUAAAAAGAGUUAGAUUUUGUUGUGUAUUGACCUUAACAGCUUGCAUUUCAAUUUUCUUGCUUUUUUUAAUGCACUUUUCGUUUAACAAGUCAACAUCAGUUUCUUUUGUUGUAAAAAGGUCAUUGGAAGGUGGCUUUCUUUUCGGAGAAAGUGUUUAUAGCCUUUGACUCCUGCAAUCGGAGAGACUGAGGUCUGCAGCGUAGAUCCCUUCGGGGUUAGAUACAUUUGUGCUAAGUUAUAGCUUUUUAUAGACAACUUGUUGACUAUGAUUAGUCUUGUAGCUUACUCGCUUAUGCUAUUUUACCUACGCUUAGGAUGUUGAUGUGAUACUGCGAGCA
Molecule: ribosomal RNA, 775 nt
Filed under: uncultured Neocallimastigales
Lineage: Eukaryota; Fungi; Neocallimastigomycota; Neocallimastigomycetes; Neocallimastigales
Description: partial large subunit ribosomal RNA
Rfam family: Eukaryotic large subunit ribosomal RNA
Source: RNAcentral